Molecule: ribosomal RNA, 247 nt
Filed under: uncultured bacterium
Lineage: Bacteria
Description: partial 16S ribosomal RNA
Rfam family: Bacterial small subunit ribosomal RNA
Source: RNAcentral
AUACGUAGGGGGCUAGCGUUAUCCGGAAUGACUGGGCGUAAAGGGCGCGUAGGUGGCCUUUCAAGUCUGGAGUGAAAGUCCCGCUUUCAAGGUGGGAAUGGCUUUGGAAACUGAGAGGCUUGAGUGUGGGAGAGGAUAGCGGAAUUCCCGGUGUAGCGGUGAAAUGCGUAGAGAUCGGGAGGAACACCAGUGGCGAAGGCGGCUAUCUGGACCAAGACUGACACUGAAGCGCGAAAGCGUGGGUAGC